GGCUCAGUAGUUCAGUGGUUUAGAACGCAUCUCUCAUGAGGAUGAGGUCGGGGGUUCAAUUCCCCCCUGAGCCA
RNAcentral lists this transfer RNA (74 nucleotides) under Candidatus Pacearchaeota archaeon. RNAcentral describes it as "tRNA-Met". It matches the Rfam family "tRNA". Rfam says of the family: Transfer RNA (tRNA) molecules are approximately 80 nucleotides in length. The record is from RNAcentral. Lineage: Archaea; Nanobdellati.